This 295-nucleotide signal recognition particle RNA is filed under the name Aotus nancymaae (Ma's night monkey). RNAcentral's name for it is "Metazoan signal recognition particle RNA (ENSANAG00000001647.1)". It matches the Rfam family "Metazoan signal recognition particle RNA". Rfam says of the family: The signal recognition particle (SRP) is a universally conserved ribonucleoprotein. The record is from RNAcentral. Lineage: Eukaryota; Metazoa; Chordata; Mammalia; Primates; Aotidae.
GCUGGGUGCUGUGGUGUGUGCCUAUAGUCCCAGCUACUCAGGACGCUGAAGUGGGAGAAUCACUUGAGCCCAGGAGUUCUGGACUGUAGUGUGCCAUGCUGAUCUAUGUCCACACUAAGUUCAGCCAUCAACAUGGUGACCUCUUUGAGCAAGAGAUCACCAGGUUGCCUAAGGAUGGUGAACCAGUAUAGGUUGGAAACAGCAGGACAGCACUUUCAUGCUGAUCAGUAGUGGAAUCAUGCUUGUGAAUAGCCACUGCACUUUAAGCUGGGCAACAUAGCAAGACCUUGUCUCU